AGGUGGGAGGCUUUGAAACCAGGACGCCAGUUUUGGCGGAGCCAUCCUUGGGAUACCACCCUUGUAGUACUGGGACUCUAACCAUAGGCCAUGAAUCUGGUCUUGGGACACUGUCAGGUGGGCAGGUUGACUGGGGCGGUCGCCUCCCAAAAGGUAACGGAGGCGCUCAAAGGUUCUCUCAGUACGGUCGGAAAUCGUACGUAGAGGGUAAAGGCAAAAGAGAGCUUGAUUGCAAGACAUACAGGUCGAGCAAGGAUGAAAAUCGGACUUAGUGAUCCGGUGGGUCUGCGUGGAAGGGCCAUCGCUCAACGGAUAAAAGCUACCCUGGGGAUAA
Molecule: ribosomal RNA, 334 nt
Filed under: Clostridioides difficile
Lineage: Bacteria; Bacillati; Bacillota; Clostridia; Peptostreptococcales; Peptostreptococcaceae
Description: bacterial LSU rRNA
Rfam family: Bacterial large subunit ribosomal RNA
Source: RNAcentral